GGACAGUGGCAAAAGGGUGAGUAACACGUAGGUGACCUACCCCGAAGUGGGGAAUAACUGCUCGAAAGAGCAGCCGAUACCGCAUGUGAUCGGUUAUUCGGUUAGCCGAUGAAAGACCUCGGUCGCUUCGGGAGGGGCCUGCGUCCGAUUAGCUAGUUGGUGGGGUAACGGCUCACCAAGGCGACGAUCGGUAGCUGGUCUGAGAGGAUGGUCAGCCACACUGGCACUGAGACACGGGCCAGACUCCUACGGGAGGCAGCAGUAAGGAAUAUUCCACAAUGGGGCGCAAGCCUGAUGGAGCGACGCCGCGUGGACGACGAAGGCCUUCGGGUUGUAAAGUCCUUUUCUGAAGGAAGAGACCAGGACGGUACUUCAGGAAUAAGUCUCGGCUAACUACGUGCCAGCAGCCGCGGUAAUACGUAGGAGACGAACGUUAUCCGGAUUCACUGGGGCGUAAAGCGCGCGCAGGCGGUGCUGUAAGUUUGGGCGUGAAAUACCCCUGGCUUAACUGGGGGUGGGCCCGCUCAAUACUGCAGUGCUCGAGGGCAGGAGAGGGAAGCGGAAUUCCCGGUGGAGUAGUGAAAUGCUUAGAUAUCGGGAGGAACACCAGUGGCGAAAGCGGCUUCCUGGACUGUUCCUGACGCUGAGGCGCGAAAGCCAGGGGAGCGAACCGAAUUAGAUACUCGGGUAGUCCUGGCCCUAAACGUGGACUAGGGGGGUGGGGGG
RNAcentral lists this ribosomal RNA (726 nucleotides) under uncultured bacterium. RNAcentral's name for it is "bacterial SSU rRNA". It matches the Rfam family "Bacterial small subunit ribosomal RNA", at positions 90 to 831 of the family's 1533-position model. The record is from RNAcentral.